GACGAACGCUGGCGGCGUGCUUAACACAUGCAAGUCGAACGAUGAAGAAGAGAAACGCGAACUUCGGUUCAAAUUUCACUUCGGAUUAGUGGCAGACGGGUGAGUAACGCGUGAGCAACCUACCUCUUACAAAGGGAUAGCCUCGGGAAACCGUGAUUAAUACCAUAUGACACAUUCAUAAGGCAUCUUAAGAAUGUUAAAGCUACGGCGGUAAGAGAUGGGCUCGCGUCCCAUUAGCUAGUUGGUGAGGUAACGGCCCACCAAGGCGACGAUGGGUAACCGGCCUGAGAGGGUGAACGGUCACAUUGGAACUGAGACACGGUCCAAACUCCUACGGGAGGCAGCAGUGGGGAAUAUUGCACAAUGGAGGGAACUCUGAUGCAGCGACGCCGCGUGAGCGAUGAAGGAAUUAGUUUCGUAAAGCUCUGUUCUAUGGGAAGAAAAGGACUGUACCAUAGGAGAAAGCCCCGGCUAAAUACGUG
This 482-nucleotide ribosomal RNA is filed under the name uncultured bacterium. RNAcentral's name for it is "partial 16S ribosomal RNA". It matches the Rfam family "Bacterial small subunit ribosomal RNA", at positions 28 to 507 of the family's 1533-position model. The record is from RNAcentral.